GAUCAAUUGAAUGCUGGACAGGAUGACAUCAUCACUCAUGUCAUGUACAAAGCUGUCAAGAUAAGAACCACAGCCAGUCUGACGAAACUGAUUUAGCUGACUCAGCAGUGAGAACUGAAGACGUCAGUUAUGGAAAAUCAACCAUCAGAACAAGGAGGCCCAGGUACAGCUGCUCUUUAUUUUUUACUUUACACAAAUACAAGCUAGCUGCUCACUUUGUUUCCAGCUGCCAUGCUAAGCUAAGCUAAUCAAAAAAUAUCCUGACCAAUGUCAGACUUGUGAACUCUGACAGUAAGUUUUACUAAUGGCCAAUAUACAGCAUUUAGGUUUGUAAUAUUUGUACUUGACUAAUUAGGUUAAAACAAAUGUGAAAUAAUCUGCAGAGCAGAAAAAGAACCUGAUUUUUUUUUUUUCUUUAUUUUUGUAAUUCAGGAAAGAAAAAGCUGGUUUACAAUGGACCUGUUUUGCUUUUCCUAAUUUCCUGACAUGUGUUUUUUUAAUUCAGAUUUAAAAACAGAGGGUUUUGUCCUGCCCAAAAAAUCGUAGAAAUAUGUUAUCUAACCAGAUUCUUACUCUGGAUGGCAUUACCUUGGCCUGAAAUCAAAAUCCUCCUCACAUACAGUCUUUAAUAAUCAGGCCCAAUCGUAUGUUAAUCAUCUUAUAGAACCUAACGCCCAAUAAAAUAUCGAG
Long non-coding RNA from Astatotilapia calliptera (eastern happy), 690 nucleotides. Lineage: Eukaryota; Metazoa; Chordata; Actinopteri; Cichliformes; Cichlidae. The record is from Ensembl.